UGGGGAAUAUUGCACAAUGGGCGGAAGCCUGAUGCAGCGACGCCGCGUGGGGGAUGAAGGCCUUCGGGUUGUAAACUCCUUUCGACAGGGACGAAGCUUUUGUGACGGUACCUGUAUAAGAAGCACCGGCUAACUACGUGCCAGCAGCCGCGGUAAUACGUAGGGUGCGAGCGUUGUCCGGAAUUACUGGGCGUAAAGAGCUCGUAGGUGGUUUGUCGCGUCGUCUGUGAAAUUCCGGGGCUUAACUCCGGGCGUGCAGGCGAUACGGGCUGACUUGAGUUCUGUAGGGGAGACUGGAAUUCCUGGUGUAGCGGUGAAAUGCGCAGAUAUCAGGAGGAACACCGAUGGCGAAGGCAGGUCUCUGGGCAGUAACUGACGCUGAGGAGCGAAAGCAUGGGUAGCGAACAGG
Molecule: ribosomal RNA, 409 nt
Filed under: Actinomycetes bacterium
Lineage: Bacteria; Bacillati; Actinomycetota; Actinomycetes
Description: Actinobacteria bacterium partial 16S ribosomal RNA
Rfam family: Bacterial small subunit ribosomal RNA
Source: RNAcentral